GGGAUGAACUAUAAGGAAUGUCACCUCAAUGUCACUGCAGUGAAGGAUCGACCCGAACCUGAGACAACGAGUGACACCAGUCUGAGAUGGAUCGGCCUCUACUGGGCACUGGGACUGACAGCAGCUCUACUGGUUCUUUAUUCAUUCUAUCACUGCAUUGUUAAAAAAUAUUGCUGUGAUAGAGAGAGGAGUUAUGAAUCACCUGGGACACCUUUGGAUCUACGGGCAGAAUGACUGUGUUAGAUGUUGGAGGUUUUGGGCUGCACUCUGACAUCUUAUGCUUGCUUUUGUUCUAUGCUUCACAGAAAACAUUUUAUCUACUCUCAGAACCCAGGGAAUCACUGACUGAAAUGUAUACUACUCCUCGUGAAAAGUAGGGUGGGAGCCUUCAGUUAUUUUAGUUGUUUAGUUAUUAUUAGUUAUCUUUUGUGGAACGAGCUUCCACUUUCAGUCCGGGGGGGAAGACACAGUCAGCUCCUUUUAGAUAAAGCUUAAGACUUUCCUCUGUGAUAUUGCCUAUAGUUAGGGCUGGCUCAGGUUGGCCUGGACCAGCCCUUAGUCAAGCUGCUAUAGGCCUAGACUGCCGGGGGAUUUCUUAGGACACAGCAAGCUCCUCUCUCUCGCUUUGUCCAUCUACAAUAAUCCACGUCUCAUUAAUGCACAUCUCUAAUUCAACUUCUUCACCAGAGUUUUUGUGCUUUCUCGUUUCGCAGGUUUUCGUAGAUCGUGGUGUCUGGGUCCUGCCUCCUGCCUGGCCCUGCUAACACCUCCCGCGUCUAACACCAUUAUUACUUCCAUUACUAUUGCUAUCAACAUUAAUGUACAUCACAGACUUUGUUUCUUCCAUGUGUUUGUGCUUUGUCGCCUUGCAGGUUUCUGUCCGUACCGUGUUCCUGCCUCCUGCUGUGGCCCUGCUGACAACUGCUGCUGCUAUUAUUAUGAGGUCAGAUCAGUCUCAAUAAUUGCAAAUGCACACAGAACGACUCACAAAUGCAAACCGGAAUGCGCACGGAACAAUUCACAAAUGUAUUCGAUUUACAAAUUCACAGGGAAGGAUUUACAAAUGCAUUUCAAUGCACUCAUAAAUAAAUUAGGAGUUAUAUUUGCGGAUCCCAUUGUAUUUAUUUGCAGAUUGCAAAUAGUCACAUGGGUCUUUUGAGAUUUGUCUUUUCGCACUGGCAUCUGGUAGUGACGAUGAAGUUGAACAUGAUUAAUGUACCCCCCCCCCCGUGUUGUAUGACAUGACAUGUUCUUGAACUAUGAAUUAUCACUUUUGGUACGUUAUGUUAGCAGAGUAAAUUCCGUAUUCAGUUUAGCUCAGUUUAGCUCCAGCAGCUUAGUUAGCUAGCUAGUGUUAGUGCUAAUUUCUGCAUGCUAAUUUGUUUUUUCUGCAAAGUAACAUUUUGAAACUAACUAAGUUACAAUUAUGUAAUGUAAAAAUAACUGGUGUGUGACAGGGUCUGUCAACUAGCAGCACAUGUCUGAUCCUCUCUAAGUUACAUACUUAUUAUUUAGGGGUGUAACGAUUCAUUCACUGAAUCGAUUAUAAUCGAUUUAUAUUCCUGCGAUCCAAAUGAAUCGUUCAGCUCCGCUCAGCAAAUCGUCAUUCCGGACGACAUAUAUCGAU
Molecule: non-coding RNA, 1627 nt
Organism: Gasterosteus aculeatus aculeatus (three-spined stickleback)
Lineage: Eukaryota; Metazoa; Chordata; Actinopteri; Perciformes; Gasterosteidae
Source: RefSeq, a predicted model, not a curated record